RNAcentral lists this ribosomal RNA (1433 nucleotides) under human gut metagenome. RNAcentral's name for it is "bacterial LSU rRNA". It matches the Rfam family "Bacterial large subunit ribosomal RNA", at positions 1002 to 2450 of the family's 2925-position model. The record is from RNAcentral.
GGUCCGUGCCCGAGAGGAGAAGAAUCCAGACCACCGGCUAAGGCCCCGAAAUACAGGUUAAGUUAGUCUAACGGGGUGGGGCCCCAGUGACAGCUAGGAUGUUGGCUUGGAAGCAGCCAUUCAUUCAAAGAGUGCGUAACAGCUCACUAGUCGAGGGGCCCCGCAUGGAUAAUAAUCGGGUAUCAAACCUGUUGCCGAAGCCGUGGGACGGGAAACCGUCGGUAGGGGAGCAUUGCAUGCGCGCAGAAUGUACGGGGUGACCCGUGCUGGAGCGCAUGGAAAAGCAAAUGUAGGUAUAAGUAACGAUAAAGGGGGUGGGAUGCCCCCUCGCCGUAAGGCCAAGGUUUCCCGGGCGACGUUAAUCGUCCCGGGGUCAGUCGGGUCCUAAGGGUAAGCGUAUGAGCGAGUCCCGAUGGCAGAAACGGUCAACAUUCCGUUACUGCCCGGCAUGGCGAUGCGGAGACGGAGAAGUGACACUUCCGCGCCCUGACGGAAAAGGGCGUUGAAGGCCGUAGGUGCAGAGGAUGGCAGGAAAGUCCACCGUCCGAGCCGAAAGCCGAUAGUACGCGAGGCCCCCGGGCUGAGCGAAAGCGAAGGUAAUCAAGCUCCCGAGAAAAUCCGCUAAGCAUCCAACAUGCCGGGCACCCGUACCGCAAACGGACACACGUGGCCGGGUAGAGCAUACCAAGGCGCUUGGAAGAUUCACGGUUAAGGAACUAGGCAAAAUGACCCCGUAACUUCGGGAGAAGGGGUCCUCACGUGAGUGAGGCGCAGCGAAACGGUCCAGGCAACUGUUUACCAAAAACACAGGGCUGUGCGAAAUCGAAAGAUGCAGUAUACAGCCUGACACCUGCCCGGUGCCGGAAGGUUAAGAGGAGGGCUCACCGCAAGGGAAGGCCCGAAUUGAAGCCCCGGUAAACGGCGGCCGUAACUAUAACGGUCCUAAGGUAGCGAAAUUCCUUGUCGGGUAAGUUCCGACCUGCACGAAUGGUGUAAUGAUCCGGACACUGUCUCAACCGUGAUUCCAGUGAAAUUGUAGUAUCGGUGAAGAUGCCGAUUACCCGCGAUGGGACGAAAAGACCCCGUGAACCUUUACUACAGCUUAACAUUGCGACCGGGCAUGCCUUGUGUAGGAUAGGCCGGAGGCAGAGAAUCAGGGGCGCCAGCCCUUGUGGAGCCGCCGUUGAAAUACGGCCCUGGGCCUGUUUGGUCGCUAACGCGUGUGAUACGCGGACACUGUUUGGCGGGUAGUUUGACUGGGGUGGUCGCCUCCAAAAGCGUAACGGAGGCUUCCCAAGGUGCCCUCAGGCCGAUUGGCAACCGGCCGCAGAGUGUAAUGGCAGAAGGGCGCUUGACUGGUAGGCCGACGGGCCGAUCAGGCAGGAAACUGGGGCAUAGUGAUCCGGUGGUCCCGCAUGGAAGGGCCAUCGCUC